GUAGGUGGCAAGCGUUGUCCGGAAUUAUUGGGCGUAAAGCGCGCGCAGGCGGUUCUUUAAGUCUGAUGUGAAAGCCCACGGCUCAACCGUGGAGGGUCAUUGGAAACUGGAGAACUUGAGUACAGAAGAGGAAAGCGGAAUUCCACGUGUAGCGGUGAAAUGCGUAGAGAUGUGGAGGAACACCAGUGGCGAAGGCGGCUUUCUGGUCUGUAACUGACGCUGGGGCGCGAAAGCGUGGGGAGCAAACAGGAUUAGAUACCCUGGUAGUCCACGCCGUAAACGAUGAGUGCUAAGUGUUAGGGGGGUUUUCCGCCCCCCUUAGUGCUGCAGCUAACGCAUUAAGCACUCCGCCUGGGAGUACGGCCGCAAGGCUG
RNAcentral lists this ribosomal RNA (374 nucleotides) under uncultured organism. RNAcentral's name for it is "partial 16S ribosomal RNA". It matches the Rfam family "Bacterial small subunit ribosomal RNA", at positions 527 to 896 of the family's 1533-position model. The record is from RNAcentral.